Molecule: ribosomal RNA, 467 nt
Filed under: uncultured bacterium
Lineage: Bacteria
Description: partial 16S ribosomal RNA
Rfam family: Bacterial small subunit ribosomal RNA
Source: RNAcentral
GACGAACGCUGGCGGCGUGCUUAACACAUGCCAGUCGAACGGAAAGGCCCUGCUUUUGUGGGGUGCUCGAGUGGCGAACGGGUGAGUACACGUGAGUAACCUGCCCUUGACUUUGGGAUAACUUCAGGAAACUGGGGCUAAUACCGGAUAGGAGCUCCUGCUGCAUGGUGGGGGUUGGAAAGUUUCGGCGGUUGGGGAUGGACUCGCGGCUUAUCAGCUUGUUGGUGGGGUAGUGGCUUACCAAGGCUUUGACGGGUAGCCGGCCUGAGAGGGUGACCGGCCACAUUGGGACUGAGAUACGGCCCAGACUCCUACGGGAGGCAGCAGUGGGGAAUAUUGCACAAUGGGCGGAAGCCUGAUGCAGCAACGCCGCGUGCGGGAUGACGGCCUUCGGGUUGUAAACCGCUUUCGCCUGUGACGAAGCGUGAGUGACGGUAAUGGGUAAAGAAGCACCGGCUAACUACGUG